This 253-nucleotide ribosomal RNA is filed under the name uncultured bacterium. RNAcentral's name for it is "partial 16S ribosomal RNA". It matches the Rfam family "Bacterial small subunit ribosomal RNA", at positions 524 to 776 of the family's 1533-position model. The record is from RNAcentral.
UACAGAGGUCUCAAGCGUUGUUCGGAUUCAUUGGGCGUAAAGGGUGCGUAGGCGGCGCGGUAAGUCGGGUGUGAAAUUUCGGAGCUUAACUCCGAAACUGCAUUCGAUACUGCCGUGCUUGAGGACUGGAGAGGAGACUGGAAUUUACGGUGUAGCAGUGAAAUGCGUAGAUAUCGUAAGGAAGACCAGUGGCGAAGGCGGGUCUCUGGACAGUUCCUGACACUGAGACACGAAGGCCAGGGGAGCAAACGGG